CCAGCGCCCCGAGUUGUCGGGACGAUUAUUGGGCCUAAAGCAUCCGUAGCCUGUUCUGCAAGUCCUCCGUUAAAUCCACCUGCUCAACGAAUGGGCUGCGGAGGAAACCGCAGAGCUAGGAGGCGGGAGAGGCAAACGGUACUCAGUGGGUAGGGGUAAAAUCCAUUGAUCUACUGAAGACCACCAGUGGCGAAGGCGGUUUGCCAGAACGCGCUCGACGGUGAGGGAUGAAAGCUGGGGGAGCAAACCGGAUUAGAUACCCGGGUAGUCCCAGCUGUAAACGAUGCAGACUCGGUGAUGGGUUGGCUUCGAGCCAACCCAGUGCCGCAGGGAAGCCGUUAAGUCUGCCGCCUGGGGAGUACGGUCGCAAGACUG
This 375-nucleotide ribosomal RNA is filed under the name uncultured organism. Its description in RNAcentral is "bacterial SSU rRNA". It matches the Rfam family "Archaeal small subunit ribosomal RNA", at positions 476 to 851 of the family's 1478-position model. The record is from RNAcentral.